This 199-nucleotide unclassified non-coding RNA is filed under the name rhizosphere metagenome. RNAcentral describes it as "partial ribosomal RNA internal transcribed spacer region". The record is from RNAcentral.
GUAGGUGAACCUGCGGAAGGAUCAUUACGUAUGGUAGGCCGGUCUGACCGGUUCUAUUCAACCCUGUUUUUUGCGCACCCUUUGUUUCCUCGGCAGGCUUGCCUGCCAGUAGGACCUUUUCAACUCUUCAUGUCAAAGCAAUCAGCGUCAAACAAACAAACAAUGGUAACAACUUUCAACAACGGAUCUCUUGGUUCUG